Molecule: ribosomal RNA, 497 nt
Filed under: uncultured bacterium
Lineage: Bacteria
Description: partial 16S ribosomal RNA
Rfam family: Bacterial small subunit ribosomal RNA
Source: RNAcentral
GAUGAACGCUGGCGGCGUGCCUAAUACAUGCAAGUCGAGCGAACAGAUAAGGAGCUUGCUCCUUUGACGUUAGCGGCGGACGGGUGAGUAACACGUGGGUAACCUACCUAUAAGACUGGGAUAACUUCGGGAAACCGGAGCUAAUACCGGAUAACAUUUGGAACCGCAUGGUUCUAAAGUGAAAGAUGGUUUUGCUAUCACUUAUAGAUGGACCCGCGCCGUAUUAGCUAGUUGGUAAGGUAACGGCUUACCAAGGCAACGAUACGUAGCCGACCUGAGAGGGUGAUCGGCCACACUGGAACUGAGACACGGUCCAGACUCCUACGGGAGGCAGCAGUAGGGAAUCUUCCGCAAUGGGCGAAAGCCUGACGGGGCAACGCCGCGUGAGUGAUGAAGGGUUUCGGCUCGUAAAACUCUGUUAUUAGGGAAGAACAAACGUGUAAGUAACUGUGCACGUCUUGACGGUACCUAAUCAGAAAGCCACGGCUAACUACGUG